UUCCGGUUGAUCCCGCCGGAGGCCAUUGCUGUCGGAGUUCGAUUUAGCCAUGCUAGUCGUGCGGGUUCGGACCCGCGGCGAACAGCUCAGUAACACGUGGCCAAACUACCCCACGGACCAGGACACCCUCGGGAAACUGAGGCUAAUCCAGGAUAGCGCUUCUACGCUGGAAUGCCAGAAACGCGAAAUGCUCAGGCGCCAUAGGAUGUGGCUGCGGCCGAUUAGGUAGACGGUGGGAUAACGGCCCACCGUGCCGAUAAUCGGUACGGGUCAUGAGAGUGAGAGCCCGGAGACGGACUCUGAGACAAGAGUCCGGGCCCUAUGGGGUGCAGCAGGCGCGAACCCUUUACACUGCGCGCAAGCGCGAUAAGGGAACUCCGAGUGCGCGGAUAUCACAACGUCCGCGCUUUUGAACAGCGUACAAAGCUGUCCGAAUAAGAGCUGGGCAAGACCAGUGCCAGCCGCCGCGGUAACACUGGCAGCUCGAGUGAUGGUCGCGAUUAUUGGGCCUAAAGCGUCCGUAGCCGGCCGACCAGGUCCGUCGAGAAAUCCAGCGGCCUAACCGUUGGGCGAUCGGCGGAAACCGUUCGGCUUGGGACCGGAAGACCCGAGGGGUACGUCCGGGGUAGGAGUGAAAUCCCGUAAUCCUGGACGGACCACCGACAAGCGAAGGCACCUCGGGAGGACGGAUCCGACGGUGAGGGACGAAAGCUGGGAUUUCGAACCGGAUUAGAUACCCGGGUAGUCCCAGCCGUAAACGAUGCCCGUUAGACGUGGCGAUGGCCUCGAGCUGUCGCCGUGUCGUAGGGAAGCCGUUAAACGGGCCGCCUGGGAAGUACGGCCGCAAGGCUGAAACUUAAAGGAAUUGGCGGG
Molecule: ribosomal RNA, 873 nt
Filed under: uncultured archaeon
Lineage: Archaea
Description: bacterial SSU rRNA
Rfam family: Archaeal small subunit ribosomal RNA
Source: RNAcentral